RNAcentral lists this ribosomal RNA (468 nucleotides) under uncultured bacterium. Its description in RNAcentral is "partial 16S ribosomal RNA". It matches the Rfam family "Bacterial small subunit ribosomal RNA", at positions 28 to 507 of the family's 1533-position model. The record is from RNAcentral.
GACGAACGCUGGCGGCGUGCUUAACACAUGCAAGUCGAACGGAAAGGCCCUGCUUUUGUGGGGUGCUCGAGUGGCGAACGGGUGAGUAACACGUGAGUAACCUGCCCUUGACUUUGGGAUAACUUCAGGAAACUGGGGCUAAUACCGGAUAGGAGCUCCUGCUGCAUGGUGGGGGUUGGAAAGUUUCGGCGGUUGGGGAUGGACUCGCGGCUUAUCAGCUUGUUGGUGGGGUAGUGGCUUACCAAGGCUUUGACGGGUAGCCGGCCUGAGAGGGUGACCGGCCACAUUGGGACUGAGAUACGGCGCAGACUGCUACGGGAGGCAGCAGUGGGGAAUAUUGCACAAUGGGCGGAAGCCUGAUGCAGAAACGCCGCGUGCGGGAUGACGGCCUUCGGGUUGUAAACCGCUUUCGCCUGUGACGAAGCGUGAGUGACGGUAAUGGGUAAAGAAGCACCGGCUAACUACGUG